RNAcentral lists this ribosomal RNA (442 nucleotides) under uncultured Acinetobacter sp. RNAcentral's name for it is "bacterial SSU rRNA". It matches the Rfam family "Bacterial small subunit ribosomal RNA", at positions 349 to 782 of the family's 1533-position model. Lineage: Bacteria; Pseudomonadati; Pseudomonadota; Gammaproteobacteria; Moraxellales; Moraxellaceae. The record is from RNAcentral.
CAGCAGUGGGGAAUAUUGGACAAUGGGCGAAAGCCUGAUCCAGCCAUGCCGCGUGUGUGAAGAAGGCCUUUUGGUUGUAAAGCACUUUAAGCGAGGAGGAGGCUACCGAGAUUAAUACUCUUGGAUAGUGGACGUUACUCGCAGAAUAAGCACCGGCUAACUCUGUGCCAGCAGCCGCUGUAAUACAGAGGGUGCGAGCGUUAAUCGGAUUUACUGGGCGUAAAGCGUGCGUAGGCGGCUUUUUAAGUCGGAUGUGAAAUCCCUGAGCUUAACUUAGGAAUUGCAUUCGAUACUGGGAAGCUAGAGUAUGGGAGAGGAUGGUAGAAUUCCAGGUGUAGCGGUGAAAUGCGUAGAGAUCUGGAGGAAUACCGAUGGCGAAGGCAGCCAUCUGGCCUAAUACUGACGCUGAGGUACGAAAGCAUGGGGAGCAAACAGGAUUAGA